RNAcentral lists this ribosomal RNA (429 nucleotides) under Chloroflexota bacterium. RNAcentral describes it as "Chloroflexi bacterium partial 16S ribosomal RNA". It matches the Rfam family "Bacterial small subunit ribosomal RNA", at positions 355 to 776 of the family's 1533-position model. The record is from RNAcentral. Lineage: Bacteria; Bacillati; Chloroflexota.
UGGGGAAUAUUGCACAAUGGGCGCAAGCCUGAUGCAGCCAUGCCGCGUGUAUGAAGAAGGCCUUCGGGUUGUAAAGUACUUUCAGCGGGGAGGAAGGGAGUAAAGUUAAUACCUUUGCUCAUUGACGUUACCCGCAGAAGAAGCACCGGCUAACUCCGUGCCAGCAGCCGCGGUAAUACGGAGGGUGCAAGCGUUAAUCGGAAUUACUGGGCGUAAAGCGCACGCAGGCGGUUUGUUAAGUCAGAUGUGAAAUCCCCGGGCUCAACCUGGGAACUGCAUCUGAUACUGGCAAGCUUGAGUCUCGUAGAGGGAGGUAGAAUUCCAGGUGUAGCGGUGAAAUGCGUAGAGAUCUAGAGGAAUACCGGUGGCGAAGGCGGCCCCCUGGACGAAGACUGACGCUCAGGUGCGAAAGCGUGGGGAGCAAACAGG